AAAAAAGUGAAAGUGAUAAAUGCAUAUAUGAAUUUAUGUAUAAUUAUAAAUAAAAAGAAUGGAGAUGUAUAAAUAAAUAAUUCUUUUGAUGACGAGCAAUGAUAAAAAAAACGUCUAAAAGUGUAAUUCUUUGAAAAAAAGAACAAAAAUGGAAAACACUAACAAUGAAUGCAAAUAAAUGUGUGUCAAUGAGUUCUUGUACUAAUAAGAAAAACAACACUACAGGAAAAUUUUAUUUUUUAAAUUUUCUGUAUUUAAACUUAAAUAUUAGCAAAUAUACAAAACUUUUACAAACAACUACAUAUCUGAAAGAAAAUACAACACCACUUUAGCUUAAAUGUAAUUUAAACUAAAUAAACCACAGAUUAUAGAUACAUCAGAAACAACUACAAGCAUCAACAAGAGCAACGUCAUCAACAUUAUCAAACAAACAACAGUAGCAACAUUAUUGUCAUGGUACUUGAAUGUUAAAAACAACAACAACAACAACGAAAACUAAAACUAAACAAUAAUGCACAUUACAUGCUCGAUUUAUUGUUCCACUCAAGAAACUAGGGACAAAAACAGCUACAGCAGCUGCCAAAGCAUUUUAGGUGGGAAAUAUAAAAAAAUUCAAACACAACAAUAGAUAUCAAGUGUAUUUAUACAAUAAUUUAAGCAAAAGUAUGUGGAAAAUCUUUAGAAAAAAAUUGUAUUAAAUUUCACAUCAAACUUACCAGCAAAAAGAAUAACAUUUAUCACCAUUUCAAAAGUAGCAUUAAGUGAAUAUUUCAACUUCUGUGGAAGUGAUGUUUCUUGAAUUCCAAAGACGUGAAGAAAACGCUCUUUUGCAUUUAACGUGACUAUAUAAUGAUUUGAAAAUUAAACCUGAUUGCUAUUAUUCGAACUAAAUUGAAUUGAUUUAUUGCUGAAGUUUAAAACCAAAAAAAAAUGCAAAAAUAGAAAGCUUAUAGAUCAUCGAAUAUUAAAAUAACUACAACUAAUAACAAGACUGUAUUGGAACACACAUCAGGAUUUGCAACAAAUCACAAGCUGUCUACAACAAUAGAUACAUUUGAAGCAGAAACAACACUAGACUUCAGGGAAAUCAAGUACAUGCGAACAAAAAGAAACAUUUUAUAAAAUAUUGUGUAAACAGACAUCAGACUUGUUAGCACAUAUGAAAAAUGAUGAAACUAAACUACCGUACAUCAAAUGCCAUAACGUUGAUGCCGCAAUUGCUGCUGUCACUGUAAGAACAACAACAAAUUUGUCACAAACAUUCCGUUGUACACUUGAAUAUACUUCAACAACGGCAAAGAUUUCAACAAAAAAUUUAACAAUAUAGUUGUUAUAAUAUUGAUAUCCCUGAGUAUUUUUAGAAUCCAUCCAGUCGCACUUCCACUGUCACUAGUAACCAACAACAUCAAAAAACUUUACUCAACAACAAUAGAAAUGACAUUUUGUUAAUAGCUCUGACAGCAGUAGCAGUCAUUUUAGUAGCAUCUGCAAUAACAAAGACCUGCCACCCAUACGACACGAGAUUUUUAUUUAAGUCGAAAUAUUAACUGAGAUAGUGAUUCCUGUUUCGAAUAACUUCUUCUUAAUUCACCAACAACAUUGUCUGUCUUAAGUUAUGUUGAUUUAACCACCUUAAAUGGAGAUCUCGGAGUGCCGUUCAAAGGCUUUAAUUGGAGUUUUUUAUUUGUCAUAUAUCAAUAAUAUGAUAAUUGCCGAUAGCUCUGGAUUGACAUUUACAAAAUGUCACUAACUAUUUUCUAUUGCAAAUGUCAAUUUCUAAGCGAUUUGUUGGAUCCCUUCCCGCUAUCGUGUCGUGGCUAAGAGAAAAAGUGCUCUAAGUUUUUCUAUAUUUAACCUCCUUAAGACUGAUAAAGUACUUUUUUUAACUUUUUUAAGUUAAAUUUUUAAUGGUAUAAUCAAAUGUACUAAUAAUUAUUUUAAUAAAAAUUUUAUAUUAUUUUUAAAAUGGUGUCAUAGCAUCAAAUUUGAAUACUAAUUAAGAAAUACAGAUUUAUAUAUGGAAUAAAAAAAAAUAAAUGUGCAUAAAUAUUAUAAACAAUCGCAGAACA
This 2069-nucleotide long non-coding RNA is filed under the name Lucilia cuprina (Australian sheep blowfly). RNAcentral's name for it is "uncharacterized LOC124419714, transcript variant X3". The record is from RNAcentral. Lineage: Eukaryota; Metazoa; Arthropoda; Insecta; Diptera; Calliphoridae.